UCGCCAAAUGGUUUGGAAUCAGAUCUGGCUCCCUGGGCCUCAGUUUCCCCAUCUGUACCACAGGGAGAUGAACCCGGUAGUCUCCGAGGUCCUUCCAGCCCUGAUAUCAGGAGACGAGAAGCUUCGCCGUGUGAACAGCAAACAGCCUGUUGUCUGGGUUCCUCUGGCCUGCUCCGUCACGGGGAGGCUCCCCAUAAGAUGCUGCGUCCUCUGAGACGGAAGCCCUCGGAGCCUCGGGCUGUUGAUUUGGAAGUGGUCCCAGGGCCAUGGGGCAACAGGAGAGCACCCCUGGGGCUCUUUGGGCAGGAGACACAGGGAAACUACAGGAGGGAAAAAGGAAAGAUGGAAGCCACACCAAGGAGGAGAGAGAAGCUUUCGAUGAUGAACCAAGAACGUCAUAGAGUUGGAAUCCUACAGUAUGUAGCCUUUUCAGAUCGGCCUUGUUCACUUGGUAAUAUGCAUUGCUGGGAAAGCUGUAUGAGGUCUGGAGCGCGGGGCAUCCCGGGAUCAGCUCCCUGCUGCCACAACCCCACUGGUGUUAUUAGUAUCCUCAUCAGAAUGACGUCUUUUCCAGCAGCUUGUUUCUAGCACGUUUCUGAGUUUCUACAGCCCAUCCAGAUCUAGGCCCCUGGUCACAUCCCAGAGCCACCCCCACCACAGACACAAGGCCCCUCAGUGCCAGGCCCCCUUGGUGGAUCUCAAAUGGUUUUGCAUAAGCCCCACCCCACAUAAGGCAGCAGAAGCAGGCUCUUACCCUAUUCGGCAGAUGGGCAGGCUGUGGCUCAGAGAAGCUGAGUGGCUGGCAUAAAAUGGCACAGGAUCUCCUCUACAACCACCUACAACCACCCUCCAUACAGCAAGCCCCUCAGCUUCCCUUUCCACCCAAAGGUCUGGCUCCCACUCUUGGAUGAAGAGAAGGAGCGUCUGAACCCAAAAUUCCUUACAGCACAAUAGACAACUGAAAAACAACUCAACAGAAUUUUAAUUAUUCACAGAAAACGUGUACUGUGUACAAGGUAUUGAUCAAAGAACUUUAUAAAUACUAACUCAUUUUCUCCUUAUAACUACCUUAAUGAAGCAGGUACAAUUAUUAUCCCCAUUUUAUAGGUGAGGAAACUGAGGCAGGGAGAGAGUAACUGGCCCAGGGCCACACAGCUAGGAGGCCAGAGAGCCGG
Molecule: long non-coding RNA, 1175 nt
Organism: Equus quagga
Lineage: Eukaryota; Metazoa; Chordata; Mammalia; Perissodactyla; Equidae
Exons: 4
Source: RefSeq, a predicted model, not a curated record